AGCGAACGCUGGCGGCAGGCUUAACACAUGCAAGUCGAGCGGUAAGGCCCUUUCGGGGGUACGACGAGCGGCGAACGGGUGAGUAACACGUGGGUGACCUGCCCUCAGCUCUGGGAUAAGCCCGGGAAACUGGGUCUAAUACUGGAUAUGACUCCAUGGUGCAUGCCGUGGGGUGGAAAGCCUUGUGCGGCUGAGGAUGGGCCCGCGGCCUAUCAGCUUGUUGGUGGGGUGAGGGCCUACCAAGGCGACGACGGGUAGCCGGCCUGAGAGGGCGACCGGCCACACUGGGACUGAGACACGGCCCAGACUCCUACGGGAGGCAGCAGUGGGGAAUCUUGCGCAA
Molecule: ribosomal RNA, 343 nt
Filed under: uncultured bacterium
Lineage: Bacteria
Description: bacterial SSU rRNA
Rfam family: Bacterial small subunit ribosomal RNA
Source: RNAcentral